GGUUAAGCGACUAAGCGUACACGGUGGAUGCCCUGGCAGUCAGAGGCGAUGAAGGACGUGCUAAUCUGCGAUAAGCGUCGGUAAGGUGAUAUGAACCGUUAUAACCGGCGAUUUCCGAAUGGGGAAACCCAGUGUGUUUCGACACACUAUCAUUAACUGAAUCCAUAGGUUAAUGAGGCGAACCGGGGGAACUG
This 194-nucleotide ribosomal RNA is filed under the name Escherichia coli. RNAcentral's name for it is "partial 23S ribosomal RNA". It matches the Rfam family "Bacterial large subunit ribosomal RNA", at positions 1 to 195 of the family's 2925-position model. RNAcentral also lists the same sequence under 1 other name. Lineage: Bacteria; Pseudomonadati; Pseudomonadota; Gammaproteobacteria; Enterobacterales; Enterobacteriaceae. The record is from RNAcentral.